This 253-nucleotide ribosomal RNA is filed under the name uncultured bacterium. RNAcentral describes it as "partial 16S ribosomal RNA". It matches the Rfam family "Bacterial small subunit ribosomal RNA", at positions 524 to 776 of the family's 1533-position model. The record is from RNAcentral.
UACAGAGGUCUCAAGCGUUGCUCGGAAUCACUGGGCGUACAGGGUGCGUAGGCGGGUCUUUAAGUCAGGGGUGAAAUCCUGGAGCUCAACUCCAGAACUGCCUUUGAUACUGAGGAUCUUGAGUACGGGAGAGGUGAGUGGAACUGCGAGUGUAGAGGUGAAAUUCGUAGAUAUUCGCAAGAACACCAGUGGCGAAGGCGGCUUCCUGGACCGACACUGACGCUGAGGCGCGAAAGCUAGGGGAGCAAACGGG